Molecule: ribosomal RNA, 301 nt
Filed under: uncultured bacterium
Lineage: Bacteria
Description: partial 16S ribosomal RNA
Rfam family: Bacterial small subunit ribosomal RNA
Source: RNAcentral
CAGUAGCCGCGGUAAUACGAAGGGUGCAAGCGUUACUCGGAAUUACUGGGCGUAAAGCGUGCGUAGGUGGUGGUUUAAGUCCGUUGUGAAAGCCCUGGGCUCAACCUGGGAAUUGCAGUGGAUACUGGGUCACUAGAGUGUGGUAGAGGAUAGUGGAAUUUCCGGUGUAGCGGUGAAAUGCGUAGAGAUCGGAAGGAACAUCUGUGGCGAAGGCGACUAUCUGGGCCAACACUGACACUGAGGCACGAAAGCGUGGGGAGCAAACAGGAUUAGAUACCCCGGUAGUCCCUGUCUCUUAUAC